This 774-nucleotide ribosomal RNA is filed under the name uncultured Neocallimastigales. RNAcentral describes it as "partial large subunit ribosomal RNA". It matches the Rfam family "Eukaryotic large subunit ribosomal RNA", at positions 22 to 621 of the family's 3401-position model. Lineage: Eukaryota; Fungi; Neocallimastigomycota; Neocallimastigomycetes; Neocallimastigales. The record is from RNAcentral.
AUAUCAGUCAUGCAUAGCAUAUCAAUAAGCGGAGGAAAAGAAACUAACAAGGAUUCCCUUAGUAACGGCGAGUGAAGCGGGAAGAGCUCAAAUUUGAAAUCUUCAAGGUUUUACCUUGACGAAUUGUAGUUUAAAGAAGUGUUUUCUGUUGAAGUUUUGGUAAAAGUUCUUUGGAAUAGGACAUCAUAGAGGGUGAGAAUCCCGUAUUUGACCAUUACUUUCAGCUUUGUGAUACACUUUCAAAGAGUCGGAUUGUUUGGGAAUGCAGUCCAAAAUGGGUGGUAAAUUUCAUCUAAAGCUAAAUAUUGGCGAGAGACCGAUAGCGAACAAGUACCGUGAGGGAAAGAUGAAAAGAACUUUGAAAAGAGAGUUAAACAGUACGUGAAAUUGUCAAAAGGGAAGCGUUUGACACCAGUGUUGUUUUCUCGAAAAUCAAUUAAAAAGAGUUGGAUUUUGUGUUGUAUUGACUUUAUCAGCUUUCUUCACUCUUUUCCAGCUUUUUUUAAUGCACUUUUCGUUUAACAAGUCAACAUCAGUUUCUUUCGUUGUAAAAAGGUCAUUGGAAGGUGGCUUUCUCUUCGGAGAAAGUGUUUAUAGCCUUUGACUCAUGCAAUCGGAGAGACUGAGGUCUGCAGCGUAGAUCCUUCGGGGUUAGAUACAUUUGUGCUAAGUUAUAGCUUUUCAUAGACAACUUGUUGACUAUGUUUAGUCUUGUAGCUUACUCGCUUAUGCUAUUUUACCUACGCUUAGGAUGUUGAACUCUAUCACACACAG